UACGUAGGGGGCUAGCGUUGUCCGGAAUCAUUGGGCGUAAAGCGCGCGUAGGCGGCCCGGUAAGUCCGCUGUAAAAGUCCAGGGCUCAACCCUGGAAAGCCGGUGGAUACUGUCGGGCUCGAGUCCGGAAGAGGCGAGUGGAAUUCCUGGUGUAGCGGUGGAACGCGCAGAUAUCAGGAGGAACACCGAUGGCGAAGGCAGCUCGCUGGGACGUUACUGACGCUGAGACGCGAAAGCGUGGGGAGCAAACAGG
RNAcentral lists this ribosomal RNA (253 nucleotides) under uncultured bacterium. RNAcentral's name for it is "partial 16S ribosomal RNA". It matches the Rfam family "Bacterial small subunit ribosomal RNA", at positions 524 to 776 of the family's 1533-position model. The record is from RNAcentral.